CUGUCCUAUCCAGCAACAACAAUAAUAACUACAGCAAUAAAACAACAAGGGCAACAAAAGGGAAUAAAUAAAUAUUUUUAAAAAUCUGAAAGAUUAGUGAUAAAGGACAAAAAGCCGAAAGGGGGAAAGUUAGGGGGAACUAGAUAAAGUAAAUGUUGCUUGUGGGAGCUGGGUAGUAGCGCAGUGCUUAAGCGUAAGCGCACGUGUCGCAAAGCACAAAGACCGGCGUAAGGACUGCGGUUGGAGCCCCAGCUCCCCACCUGCAGGAAGCAGGUCUGCAGGUGUCUAUCUCCCCCCCCCCCGCCACGUCUUCCCCUCCUCUCUCCAUUUCUCUCUGUCCUAUCCAACAACAAUGACAGCAACAAUAACAACGGUAAACAAGGGCAGCAAAAGGAAAAAAAUAGCCUUCAAGAGCAGUGAAUUUGGAGCGGAGGAACUAAGCCCUCGCAAUAACCUGGAGACAAAAACAAAACAACAAAAAAGUAAAUUAGUGGAAAGGAAACUAAGAGGUGAAACAGAGCCAGCAAGGGCAAGACGGAUCACCUGGGUAGUGCGCCUGCUUUGCCAUGCUCUUGACCCAGCCACCAAGUUGCAGAUGCUACCAUGACACCAACCUGACUUCCCUGGGAAGACGACCUCACCAAUGUGCCCUGGUACCUCACCUAUCCAGAGCCCUAUCCCCACUAGGGAAAGAUAGAAACAGGCUGGGGGGUGUGGAUCGACCUGCCAAUGUCCAUGUCCAGUGGUGAAGCAACUACAGAAGCCAGACCUUCCACCUUCUGUCCCCUAUAAAGGUCUUUGGUCCAUAAUCCCAGAGGAGUAAAGAAUAGGAAAUCUUCCAAUGGAGGGGAUGGGAUACGGAACCCUUGUGGUGGGAAUGGUGUGGAAUUGUAGCCCUCGUAUCCAACAGACUUGUUGAUCAUUACUGACUCAAUAAAAUUUAAAAAAAAGAGAGAGAGAGGGGGGGGGAGAAAGAUAAGAUACUUUUACCACUUGUGAAGCUUUACCCCCUGCAGGUGGGGACCAGGGGUUUGAACCUGGGUCUUUGUGCACUGUAAUGUGUGCACUUAGUGUGACAAAACCUGCCCCCCCUUUUUAAAAACUUUUUUAUUAUCUAUAUUUAUUGAAUAGAGACAGCCAGAAAUCAAGAGGGAAGAGGGUGAUAGGGAAAGAGACAGAGAGACACCUACAGCCCUGCUUCACAACUAGCAAAGCUUUCCCCCUGCAGGUGGGGACCGGGGGCUCAAACCCGAGUCCUUGAGCCCUGUAACGUGUGCGCUCAACCAGCUGCGCCACCACCUGGUCCCGUACCCCCUUUUUAAAAUUAUAUCACAGCACUACUCAGCUCUGGUUUAUGGUGGUGCUGAUGGUUGAAUUUGGUACCAUGGGUGCCUCAGGCAUGAAAGUCUUUUUGCAUAACCAGUGUGCUAUCUCCCCAGCCCCCUAAAUAAUUUUUUUAAUAUUUAUUUAUUUACAACAAGGGCAACAAAAGGGGAGAAAAUGGCCUCCAGGAGUGGUGGAUUCAUGGUGCAGCCACCAAGCCCAGCAAUAACCCUGGAGGGAAAAAAAAAAUUAUUUAUUCCCUUU
Long non-coding RNA from Erinaceus europaeus (western European hedgehog), 1587 nucleotides. RefSeq lists it as uncharacterized. The transcript has 3 exons. Lineage: Eukaryota; Metazoa; Chordata; Mammalia; Eulipotyphla; Erinaceidae. The record is from RefSeq and is a predicted model, not a curated record.